GACGAACGCUGGCGGCGUGCCUAACACAUGCAAGUCGAACGGAAAGGCCCUGCUUUUGUGGGGUGCUCGAGUGGCGAACGGGUGAGUAACACGUGAGUAACCUGCCCUUGACUUUGGGAUAACUUCAGGAAACUGGGGCUAAUACCGGAUAGGAGCUCCUGCUGCAUGGUGGGGGUUGGAAAGUUUCGGCGGUUGGGGAUGGACUCGCGGCUUAUCAGCUUGUUGGUGGGGUAGUGGCUUACCAAGGCUUUGACGGGUAGCCGGCCUGAGAGGGUGACCGGCCACAUUGGGACUGAGAUACGGCCCAGACUCCUACGGGAGGCAGCAGUGGGGAAUAUUGCACAAUGGGCGGAAGCCUGAUGCAGCAACGCCGCGUGCGGGAUGACGGCCUUCGGGUUGUAAACCGCUUUCGCCUGUGACGAAGCGUGAGUGACGGUAAUGGGUAAAGAAGCACCGGCUAACUACGUG
RNAcentral lists this ribosomal RNA (468 nucleotides) under uncultured bacterium. RNAcentral describes it as "partial 16S ribosomal RNA". It matches the Rfam family "Bacterial small subunit ribosomal RNA", at positions 28 to 507 of the family's 1533-position model. The record is from RNAcentral.